CAAUAGCGUAUAUUAAAGUUGUUGCAGUUAAAAAGCUCGUAGUUGAAUUUCGGGCGCUCGUUGUCGACACUUGAUUGUGCCGUCGCGUGUGCCCUCCUCGCCUUUGGCGUCAUUUACUGUGAAAAAAUUAGAGUGUUCAAAGCAGGCAUUCGCUUGAAUACAUUAGCAUGGAAUAAUAAGAUAGGAUCUUGUCUAUUUUGUUGGUUGCGGACAAAGAUAAUGAUUAAUAGGGAUAGUUGGGGGUGUCCGUAUUGAGCUGUCAGAGGUGAAAUUCUUAGAUUUGCUCAAGACGAACUACUGCGAAAGCAUUCACCAAGGAUGUUUNCAUUAA
This 331-nucleotide ribosomal RNA is filed under the name uncultured eukaryote. RNAcentral's name for it is "partial 18S ribosomal RNA". It matches the Rfam family "Eukaryotic small subunit ribosomal RNA", at positions 592 to 976 of the family's 1831-position model. The record is from RNAcentral.